AACGAACGCUGGCGGCAUGCCUAACACAUGCAAGUCGAACGAAGCCCUCGGGUCUCGUGGCGCACGGGUGCGUAACGCGUGGGAACCUGCCCUUAGGUUCGGAAUAACUCCCCGAAAGGGGUGCUAAUACCGGAUAAUGUCUUCGGAACCAAGAUUUAUCGCCUUUGGGUGGGCACGCGUGGGCUUAGCUAGUUGGUAGGGUAAAAGCCUACCAAGGCGACGAUACAUAGCUGGUCUGAGAGGAUGAUCCGCCACCCUGGGACUGGGACACGGCCCAGACUCCUACGGAAGGCAGCAGUGGGGAAUGAUGGACGCUGGGCGAAAGCCUGAUCCAGCCAUGCCGCGUGGGUGAUGAAGGCCUUAGGGUUGUAAAGCUCUUUUACCCGGGAUGAUAAUGACGGUACCGGGAGAAUAAGCCCCGGCUAACUACGUG
This 433-nucleotide ribosomal RNA is filed under the name uncultured bacterium. Its description in RNAcentral is "partial 16S ribosomal RNA". It matches the Rfam family "Bacterial small subunit ribosomal RNA", at positions 29 to 507 of the family's 1533-position model. The record is from RNAcentral.